RNAcentral lists this ribosomal RNA (253 nucleotides) under uncultured bacterium. Its description in RNAcentral is "partial 16S ribosomal RNA". It matches the Rfam family "Bacterial small subunit ribosomal RNA", at positions 524 to 776 of the family's 1533-position model. The record is from RNAcentral.
UACGGAGGGUCCGAGCGUUAUCCGGAAUCAUUGGGUUUAAAGGGUCCGUAGGCGGGCUAAUAAGUCAGAGGUGAAAUCCCACAGCUUAACUGUGGCACUGCCUUUGAUACUGUAGGUCUUGAAUUCGGUCGAAGUGGGCGGAAUGUGUUAUGUAGCGGUGAAAUGCAUAGAUAUAACACAGAACACCGAUAGCGAAGGCAGCUUGCCAGACUGUAACUGACGCUGAUGCACGAAAGCGUGGGUAGCGAACAGG